Molecule: long non-coding RNA, 364 nt
Filed under: Serinus canaria (Common canary)
Lineage: Eukaryota; Metazoa; Chordata; Aves; Passeriformes; Fringillidae
Description: lncRNA (ENSSCAG00000014032.1)
Source: RNAcentral
AUUCAGGCUCUGCGUUUACAGCACGCCUGCAGCCCGUGGCACUUUCUCCUCUGCAUGUUUCCAGAGAAAAAGGAAACCAUCUUUCUUCGAACUUAGGGAGGAGUCUGUGGCGCUUGUCAAAAUGAGAAAGUGAUCAUCAGAGUGUGGCUUGGUAUUCCUGCUGCUGGAGCCUUCAGGAGCCAGCGCUCAGCCCUGCUGAAGCCAGAGGAGGAGGGCGGAGAAGCACAGCCUGAUCAGGUACUGAGCCAGUCAUGGGAAUGGUUGUUGGAUGCAGAGUUAAGUUAUGGGUGGUCAUUAGUUACAAAAAGUUACAUUCUUUGGAAGGUCUUGUUAACAUGUGUGGUUCAAUGGAGGCCCAGUAAAG